GACGAACGCUGGCGGCGUGCCUAAUACAUGCAAGUAGGACGCAGUUGCGAACGGGAGAGUAACGCGUAGGUAACUACCUAUUAGUGGGGGCUAACUAUUGUAAACGAUAGCUAAUACCGCAUACUAGUAGAUGGACCUGCGUUGUAUUAGCUAGUAGGUAGGGUAAUGGCCUACCUAGGCCACGGUACAUAGCCGACCUGGGAGGGGGAACGGCCACACUUGGACUGGGGCACGGGCCAGAACUCUACGGGAGGCAGCAGUAGGGAAUCAUCGGAAAUGGGGCGAACCCUGAACGAGCAACGCCGCGUUAGUGAAGGAGGUUUUCGGAUCGUAAAGCUCUGUUGUUAAGGAAGCGGUACUUAACCAGAAAGGGACGGCUAACUACGUGCCAGCAGCCGCGGUAAUAC
Molecule: ribosomal RNA, 407 nt
Filed under: uncultured bacterium
Lineage: Bacteria
Description: partial 16S ribosomal RNA
Rfam family: Bacterial small subunit ribosomal RNA
Source: RNAcentral